UAUUUUGUAGAAUCACAAUGUGCUUCUAGAAUCUCUCUAGAAUCUAGAACCUCUCUAGAACCAAAAUAUCUGCUGGCCUAGUCCCACUUCCUCCUGACAUAGAGGAAGGAAGAAAGGCCGUGGCAUGUCCAGGCUCAUGACUCUGUCUUCACAGAAGACCCUCACCUCGCCUCCCCACUGCCAGGAACUCUAUGAAACAUUGGAAUUGGGGCUCCAAAUGAGUUAUCUGUGAGUGACCCUGGGGAGCCCCUAUCUCUGUCUGCCUCCACCUGAACAGCCAAAUCAAAUACAAAUCUGCUUCACCAUUACGGGUUGUUAGUGAUGAGAAGGGCAUCUAUGGUGCUCAGCACCCACUGGAAGGUGGUCACCAGACUGGCAGGAGUGGACAGGUGGUCUCUGGAGGAGGGGGACUUCUUCUGUGUGUUACCAAAGCAAGACUGCCAGCAAGUGGGAGAGCCCAAGCAUUUUGGACUCCGUGCCUUCCCAAGAUGGAGCCGGGAGACAUUCCUGCCUCACCUGCUGGUGACAGAAACAUGAACGCCAUUAGAGAGUAUCGUUACGGGAGGACGGACUGCAUCAUCUCCAGCUGGAGCUAAAGUCGGGAGAGAUACAUCAGGGCCUGUUGGGAUCGCUCCCUGGAGGCAGGCAGCAAAGACUCAACCCAGCUCUUCCUCUUCAUGCACUCAGGUGGAGCCACAGGUGGAGCCAGCAAGUUGGAAGCUUGGCUACCAGGGCAAGACUGAUCUCCCUAUGGGGGAGUCCCAUGUGCAAAGUGUCUGCCUGUAUGAGUUUCUGUCCUGCCUCUUUCUAAGAAAAUAUGGAUAUGGCAGGAUUGCGUUGU
Molecule: non-coding RNA, 841 nt
Organism: Peromyscus maniculatus bairdii (prairie deer mouse)
Lineage: Eukaryota; Metazoa; Chordata; Mammalia; Rodentia; Cricetidae
Source: RefSeq, a predicted model, not a curated record